GAUUUAGAGCCAUAGUUGUGACUGACUUGAGACAGGGUCUCUCGUGUAGCUCAGGCUGGCCUCACACUCGCCGAAGCUGGUCUGUACCACUGCAUCAGCAAAAUCGCUGCCUUUGUGAAGCACUGAGGCAGCGCUAACAUGGAGGAAACACCUUAUCCAGGACACAGUCUCCAACAUCGACGGACAGCCACGAGUUGCAGAGGAAAUACCACUUCCGGUCCACCACAGAAUCAUAGACCAGCACCCGGCUCACAUACCUGGAGAAGGGAGAUACAGCUCCAAGGAUAAGAAGUGGGGGUAGGACUCCCUGGGACAUCACAGAGCCUAGGCUCCCUCUCCACUUGCUGAUGAGAGGGCUCCUUCAGGAGACACCCAACAUGCUCACUUGCCUCUCGGAGCCUGCUUCCUGCGAAUGCGAUCAGCACCAGCACAUACAGCAUGCAGAGGCAGCCCACUGUGGUAACCACCACGGGGUUGUCCUCAAAGGUAGCAAAGAGCUCGGCAGUCUGGCGGACGUCAAUGGCGUUGGGCAUCACCAGGAAGGAGCUUCCGAAGAAGAGCUGGAGUCACACAUGUUUGUGAGCUGCUGAUGUGCAUGGUGGAAACUGAACUCGGCUUCUCCGUGAAAACAGCGAGGAUCGGACAGAGUCCAGAGUUCCCAGAACCCAAAUGGAUGCCUAAGGUGAACCUGCUAACAUGCUGGUAAUUCCAGCCUCAGAAGGGGGAGGCAGGAGCCCUAGAGAAAGCUUGAUACCUAGCCUAGCCUUGUCAGCCAGCUGUGGGUGUGACUGGGACACCUGCCUCAUCCAAUGGGGUGGAAAAUGGAGGAUUAAUCCUAGCAUCAGUUUCUGGCUGAUAUACACAUGGACGCACAUGCAUGUGCACCCACAUUUGAACAUGCAUAUACACACACAACGAAAAAAAUUCAUUUUCGAGAACAUGAUUUACUUUCAUCGUGCUAGGGAUCAAACCCUAACCUUUCCAGCAAUGUUCUCUCGCUCUCACUCUCCUGCUCCUGCUCUCUCACUCUCGCUCCGCUCCUGCUCUCGCUCUCCCGCUCUCCCGCUCUCCUGCUCUCUCUUAUUUUGGCUUUCUUGUUUGAUCUGCUUGCCAGGCGCUGGGAUGAAAGGUGCGCAUAACCACACUGGGCUUCUGACACAGGGUCUUUCAUUGGCCUGGAGUUCACCAUCAAGGCCAAACAGUUUGGUCAGGGAGCCCUAGGAAGCCGCCGCAUAACUCUGCCUCUCCAUGAGUGAUGCCUGGCACUGUCACAUGUAACCCAGGACCUGUGCUUACAAAGCAGGCACUUUCCAACUGGUGCAUCACUCCAACCCCAGGGGAGCGCAUUUUAAACGGCAUCACAAACAUCUGGAAGCUCACUUCUGUAGGUUUGGCUGAGUGAAUCCUGUGCCUUCUCCCCACCACCACCCUGAUCCUGUCCCCUGGCUGCCAGCUUGUAGACAGCGUUGCCUUUUACAACCAGAGGGUUUAACACAGUGAUUGUCUUUGACAGGUGGAGCCUGCUCUGUAAGCUAGGUAUUGUGUAAAGUUGCUUGCACCCCUGCACCCCACUCAGCUUGACCCCGUUUUAGGAUGGUAAGGGUCAGAGAGGUGGGGCUACUUGCCCAAAUUCAUCCAGCAAAUAUGGACUAA
Mus musculus (house mouse) is the source of this 1653-nucleotide long non-coding RNA. RefSeq annotates it as predicted gene 15395. NCBI's taxonomy places the organism in Eukaryota, Metazoa, Chordata, Mammalia, Rodentia, Muridae. The record is from RefSeq and is a predicted model, not a curated record. The transcript has 5 exons.